CCAACCCGUGAAUCACCGCUCUCGCCUGCUCAGGGCCCACUGCCGUAGAACUGGAUAAGCACCACCAGGUCCUGGUGUUCAGCGUCCGCCUCCGUAGAACUGGAUAAGCACCACCAGUGGAGUUCAUUCGAUGUGGUCACACUUCCACCAGCAGAAGCAUGGUAAGGCCCAGAUAUCUGACCAAUGAAGGACGUGGAUUAAGUCAAUGGAAACUUAAGGAAACGGACAAAAAGACUAACUAAUAAACUGCCCAAGUCCCAUGUCCUGUAAAAACGGAGCUUACCCUGGAGUUUAAAAUCAUUUCAUACAUAACCUGCCACCUAAUGAUGAUGUAGGAAAACUUUUAGCCUGAAUACAAACCUGUAGUGGCUUUAGUGUUAAAUACAUUGCUGAAGGAACCAAAGCAAAGGGGGAAUUGUUUACCUAUGAAUACUUCAGCGAUAUGCCUUACAGAUUUUCUCUCUGUAUCUCAAGUAAAAUUAAAAUUGUUGUUUUUAUCUAGUAAAAAUAAACUGUCAGUUGAGGAACUUAAGUGAAACAAUAUGGGAUUAAAAGACACAAAAGAGAGGAUAUGAACCCUUUAACUCCCCACCAUCGCCGUUUACAUACCAGUACACAUUCCUGUUAAAAGAGAAAAAGGUCGGGAAGAAGAGUUCUCAAGUGACAAGUGGAAGCGAAGAAGCAGUCAUUGCAUCGCCUAAGUCUCGUGGUCAGGAUUUCCAAACAGUAUUUGCGUGAUAAUUUUGCCUAGCGGAUGUUACCUAGAAAAAAAGACACAAGUUCUGCAGGCUCAUGUGAAGAAUCAUCGAAGAACUAAGAUUAUAUAAAGCAUAAAGAUUAUUCCCCUCUAUAGCCAGAGGAGUGACUCUGAGGAAAAGUGAUCACGAUACUUGAAAAGGAAUCGCAAUGUCUUGGCUGAAAAUUUAAAUAUUUUCAUUAUGUGCAUUUUCCAAAGCAGAUCGAUGCAUUUGAAUAAAAGGGGUCCGUUUCAGCAUUUUCGAAAUAAAUGGCAGUGUUGAAAGAAGUAGUAGCAACAGGUCAUGGCUUAACGAUUCGUCUGGAGCAUUUAAUAUAAUAAAAAAAUCCUCUUCAGAUGUCUAUCCCGGGAACCAACAACAGGAGAAAGUUAACAGGCAAAGGAACAUGUUUCAGUCGAAUCAUAAUCACGAGAAUUAGUAGAUUCAGAAUGACUGAAAAUCAAUUAUAGGAAUAAGAAAACAUAUGAAAAAAAGUCACAAAAAGUUAAAAAUCAACGCCGAGGAACAACAGUAACAGGGAAAGGAGUAGACGUUGCGACCAGAGAGAAAGCUGGAGAUUAGCGUGCAGGGUAGGGGCGUAAAGCCUA
This is a long non-coding RNA of Penaeus monodon (black tiger shrimp), 1345 nucleotides long. RefSeq lists it as uncharacterized. NCBI's taxonomy places the organism in Eukaryota, Metazoa, Arthropoda, Malacostraca, Decapoda, Penaeidae. The transcript is spliced from 3 exons. The record is from RefSeq and is a predicted model, not a curated record.